AACGAACGCUGGCGGCAUGCCUAACACAUGCAAGUCGAACGAGACCUUCGGGUCUAGUGGCGCACGGGUGCGUAACGCGUGGGAACCUGCCCUUAGGUUCGGGAUAACUCCCCGAAAGGGGUGCUAAUACCGGAUAAUGUCUUCGGACCAAAGAUUUAUCGCCUUUGGAUGGGCCCGCGUUGGAUUAGCUAGUUGGUAGGGUAAAAGCCUACCAAGGCGACGAUCCAUAGCUGGUCUGAGAGGAUGAUCAGCCACACUGGGACUGAGACACGGCCCAGACUCCUACGGGAGGCAGCAGUGGGGAAUAUGGGACAAUGGGCGAAAGCCUGAUCCAGCAAUGCCGCGUGAGUGAUGAAGGCCUUAGGGUUGUAAAGCUCUUUUACCCGGGAUGAUAAUGACAGUACCGGGAGAAUAAGCUCCGGCUAACUCCGU
This 432-nucleotide ribosomal RNA is filed under the name uncultured bacterium. Its description in RNAcentral is "partial 16S ribosomal RNA". It matches the Rfam family "Bacterial small subunit ribosomal RNA", at positions 29 to 506 of the family's 1533-position model. The record is from RNAcentral.